Molecule: long non-coding RNA, 397 nt
Filed under: Manihot esculenta (cassava)
Lineage: Eukaryota; Viridiplantae; Streptophyta; Magnoliopsida; Malpighiales; Euphorbiaceae
Description: long non-coding RNA (MESC_LNC005645)
Source: RNAcentral
CAAAAUUGUUAGUAUAAAAGGUGUCUAAAGCGACACCGCUUUCCCUUAAGGAAAAGCCUCCAUUCGAGUAGUCUCAUAGGUCGGCUCGGUUUCAACCAUUCUUGCUAAGGACAACCUCGCUCCUAGCGAAAAAAGUAAGGGUCUGAAAGAGUUCACGAUCGAAUGAAUUCCCUCAAAUCGGAUGACACAAAGCGAACUAGAAUAGGCUGAUUGAUCCAGAGAGCUCAGGCUGACGGUUAGGUGGUUCGGUUGCUUUAAGGAAGGGGUUCUUCGAGGAAAGGUUCGGGUGGGGAAGGAGGUUGUGAUAAAAAGCUUUUUCUUCGUUGAGGGGAGACUCUGAACUCGAGUCAAGAAAUUCUUGAAGAAAUGGUUACAGACCAGGGGCGUAGCGUAUGUC